Molecule: ribosomal RNA, 301 nt
Filed under: uncultured bacterium
Lineage: Bacteria
Description: partial 16S ribosomal RNA
Rfam family: Bacterial small subunit ribosomal RNA
Source: RNAcentral
CAGCAGCCGCGGGAAUACGUAGGUGGCAAGCGUUGUCCGGAAUUAUUGGGCGUAAAGGGCUCGCAGGCGGUUUCUUAAGUCUGAUGUGAGAGCCCCCGGCUCAACCGGGGAGGGUCAUUGGAAACUGGGAAACUUAAGUGCAGAAGAGGAGAGUGGAAUUCCACGUGUAGCGGUGAAAUGCGUAGAGAUGUGGAGGAACACCAGUGGCGAAGGCGACUCUCUGGUCUGUAACUGACGCUGAGGAGCGAAAGCGUGGGGAGCAAACAGGAUUAGAUACCCGCGUAGUCCCUGUCUCUUAUAC